GAUGCGGGUGCUAUACAUGCAGUCGAACGCUUCUUUUUCCACCGGAGCUUGCUCCACCGGAAAAAGAGGAGUGGCGAACGGGUGAGUAACACGUGGGUAACCUGCCCAUCAGAAGGGGAUAACACUUGGAAACAGGUGCUAAUACCGUAUAACAAUCAAAACCGCAUGGUUUUGAUUUGAAAGGCGCUUUCGGGUGUCGCUGAUGGAUGGACCCGCGGUGCAUUAGCUAGUUGGUGAGGUAACGGCUCACCAAGGCCACGAUGCAUAGCCGACCUGAGAGGGUGAUCGGCCACAUUGGGACUGAGACACGGCCCAAACUCCUACGGGAGGCAGCAGUAGGGAAUCUUCGGCAAUGGACGAAAGUCUGACCGAGCAACGCCGCGUGAGUGAAGAAGGUUUUCGGAUCGUAAAACUCUGUUGUUAGAGAAGAACAAGGAUGAGAGUAACUGUUCAUCCCUUGACGGUAUCUAACCAGAAAGCCACGGCUAACUACGUGCCAGCAGCCGCGGUAAUACGUAGGUGGCAAGCGUUGUCCGGAUUUAUUGGGCGUAAAGCGAGCGCAGGCGGUUUCUUAAGUCUGAUGUGAAAGCCCCCGGCUCAACCGGGGAGGGUCAUUGGAAACUGGGAGACUUGAGUGCAGAAGAGGAGAGUGGAAUUCCAUGUGUAGCGGUGAAAUGCGUAGAUAUAUGGAGGAACACCAGUGGCGAAGGCGGCUCUCUGGUCUGUAACUGACGCUGAGGCUCGAAAGCGUGGGGAGCAAACAGGAUUAGAUACCCUGGUAGUCCACGCCGUAAACGAUGAGUGCUAAGUGUUGGAGGGUUUCCGCCCUUCAGUGCUGCAGCUAACGCAUUAAGCACUCCGCCUGGGGAGUACGACCGCAAGGUUGAAACUCAAAGGAAUUGACGGGGGCCCGCACAAGCGGUGGAGCAUGUGGUUUAAUUCGAAGCAACGCGAAGAACCUUACCAGGUCUUGACAUCCUUUGACCACUCUAGAGAUAGAGCUUCCCCUUCGGGGGCAAAGUGACAGGUGGUGCAUGGUUGUCGUCAGCUCGUGUCCUGAGAAGUUGGGUUAAAUCCCGCAACGAGGGCAACCCUUAUUGUUAGUUGCCACCAUUCAGUUGGGGACUCUUACAAGAAUGGCCGGUGACAAACCCGAGGAGAGGGGGG
RNAcentral lists this ribosomal RNA (1167 nucleotides) under Enterococcus faecium. Its description in RNAcentral is "bacterial SSU rRNA". It matches the Rfam family "Bacterial small subunit ribosomal RNA", at positions 39 to 1178 of the family's 1533-position model. Lineage: Bacteria; Bacillati; Bacillota; Bacilli; Lactobacillales; Enterococcaceae. The record is from RNAcentral.